RNAcentral lists this ribosomal RNA (460 nucleotides) under uncultured bacterium. RNAcentral describes it as "partial 16S ribosomal RNA". It matches the Rfam family "Bacterial small subunit ribosomal RNA", at positions 338 to 795 of the family's 1533-position model. The record is from RNAcentral.
CCUACGGGGGACAGCAGUGAGGAAUAUUGGUCAAUGGACGAGAGUCUGAACCAGCCAAGUAGCGUGAAGGAUGACUGCCCUAUGGGUUGUAAACUUCUUUUAUAUGGGAAUAAAAUGUUCCACGUGUGGGAUUUUGUAUGUACCAUAUGAAUAAGGAUCGGCUAACUCCGUGCCAGCAGCCGCGGUAAUACGGAGGAUCCGAGCGUUAUCCGGAUUUAUUGGGUUUAAAGGGAGCGUAGGUGGAUUGUUAAGUCAGUUGUGAAAGUUUGCGGCUCAACCGUAAAAUUGCAGUUGAAACUGGCAGUCUUGAGUACAGUAGAGGUGGGCGGAAGUCGUGGUGUAGCGGUGAAAUGCUUAGAUAUCACGAAGAACUCCGAUUGCGAAGGCAGUUCACUGGACUGCAACUGACACUGAGGCUCGAAAGUGUGGGUAUCAAACAGGAUUAGAUACCCGGGUAGUC